GGAAUAUAAAAACCCGUCUUUUAAUUUUUAACUAAAAAGGUAAGAACUGAUUCUUAAAUAAGAUAUUUAAGAACCAGUUCUUAAAUUUUUUAGUUAAAAGUUAAGAGACGGAUUCUUAUAUUCU
Molecule: microRNA precursor, 124 nt
Organism: Brassica oleracea var. oleracea
Lineage: Eukaryota; Viridiplantae; Streptophyta; Magnoliopsida; Brassicales; Brassicaceae
Rfam family: MIR9563 microRNA precursor family
Source: Rfam